Molecule: ribosomal RNA, 710 nt
Filed under: uncultured bacterium
Lineage: Bacteria
Description: bacterial SSU rRNA
Rfam family: Bacterial small subunit ribosomal RNA
Source: RNAcentral
UUCGGGAGUGAGUAGCGGAAGGGUGAGGAACGCGUGAGUAAUCUGCCCCCCAGUUGGGAAUAACAGUUGGAAACGACUGCUAAUACCGAAUGUGGCUUAAGCUUCGCCUGGAGCUUUGGCUAAAGAUUUAUCGCUGGGGGAUGAGCUCGCGUCCCAUUAGCUAGUUGGUGAGGUAACGGCUCACCAAGGCGACGAUGGGUAGCUGGUCUGAGAGGAUGGUCAGCCACACUGGGACUGAGACACUGCCCAGACUCCUACGGGAGGCUGCAGUCGAGAAUCUUGGGCAAUGCGCGAAAGCGUGACCCAGCAAUGCCGCGUGUACGAUGAAGGCCCUCGGGUCGUAAAGUACUGUCUCCCGUGACGAAAUUUGACGGUAGCGGGGAAGGAAGCCACGGCUAACUACGUGCCAGCAGCCGCGGUAAUACGUAGGUGGCGAGCGUUGUUCGGAUUUAUUGGGCGUAAAGGGUCUGUAGGAGGUUUGUUAAAUACGGGGUGAAAUCCCGAAGCUCAACUUCGGAAUUGCCUUGUAGACUGACGGACUAGAGUACCGGAGAGGUAAGCGGAAUACCAGGUGUAGCGGUGGAAUGCGUAGAUAUCUGGUAGAACACCAAAAGCGAAGGCAGCUUGCUGGACGGAAACUGACUCUGAAAGACGAAAGCAUGGGGAGCAAACAGGAUUAGAUACCCUGGUAGUCCAUGCCGUAAACGUUG